CUGUGGAUCAGGAAGGCGAGCUCUCUCAGUCCAGUCUGUACAGAGCUGCUGUCGGGGUGGAGGUGGACGUGUGACGAGAGGCGGAACAACCUCUGUGGUGGACUUGAAGAAAUCACACCAGGAGUGAGGUCCUGCAGUUUUACGCGCAGGAUGGUGAAGGUGGACAGAUGUUCACAUCGUGCCUCCACGUGCUGACAUUGACAGGGACUCCGUUAAGAUUGUUUCCAGCAGACGCUAUCACAGAAGACAGAAGAAUUCACCGAUGUGGCGGUAAAACAAUGAAGCAGAGAAGCACUCAGUGCACUGGUGCAGAACACUGGAGGUGACGUAAGAGUGGCUGCGAGCGUGGCGCUGGACUGUCAUUUGGGAUGGACUCGUGUGUGACUCACUUUGCUCUGCCAACAGCCACAGCUGACAAGAUGCACAUCUGAUAAUAAUUAGAAAUAAGUGAAUUGAAGGUUGUUGUUGUUGUUGUUGUUUUUCCAGGUCUUAAAAAUCCUAUACUUUUGUUGGAAAAAAACAAACAAAAAAAACAAAAAACAAAGUGAAAUCCACUCGUGGACUAUGCUGUAAACGGUGUAAUGUUUUAAAGAAGCAGUUUAAAGUCCAGCAGUGAGCGUUAGUGCCCAGCCUGAGAUAAGACUUUUGCUCACAAACAAUAAUAAUAAUAAUAAUAAUAAUAAUAAUAAAAAGAUAAGAGUUGCUGAAAUGUUCUUUAAUAAUUACAUGUCAGCUUUGAAGCAGUGCUACCACCAUCUAGUGUUGGAAGAUGUUUAAGCAGUUUUAUUCAGGAGUGACAGUGACUCAGUUACAGACCUUAUGUUUUAUUCUUGUAAAAGUGACAACAUAAGGUUUGACUCGCUGACAAAAUAAGUAAAAAGUAGAGUAAAUUGAAAAAAAAUGGAAGUGAAUAUAUUGACCCUAACUGACUAAAGGUAAUGCAUAUGGUGAAUUAUGAUGUUAUUUCCCAACUUCCUAAUUUCCAAAUCUAAUAAGGAUCUAAUGAAUCGAAAAAGAAAAAGAAUAAGAUACGUUCUACAUGCAAAUGAAUGUUUUUCAUUCAGAAACACGGUGGGUUUUCAUUUGAAUUAUUGUAGUGAUACCAAUCGAGCUGCACAGAACUGCGAGACAUGUCGCAGGUAAUUGUUAUAAUCAAUUGUAAUAAUUCAACAGUUUCAUGAAAUGACUGAAGGAAGACACUGAAAAUAAAAACUGAAAUAAUAAAUUCUGAUUUAUAAUUGA
This is a long non-coding RNA of Solea senegalensis (Senegalese sole), 1242 nucleotides long. RefSeq lists it as uncharacterized. Lineage: Eukaryota; Metazoa; Chordata; Actinopteri; Pleuronectiformes; Soleidae. The transcript is spliced from 4 exons. The record is from RefSeq and is a predicted model, not a curated record.